AACGAACGCUGGCGGCAUGCCUAACACAUGCAAGUCGAACGAGACCUUCGGGUCUAGUGGCGCACGGGUGCGUAACGCGUGGGAACCUGCCCUUAGGUUCGGAAUAACUCCCCGAAAGGGGUGCUAAUACCGGAUAAUGUCUUCGGACCAAAGAUUUAUCGCCUUUGGAUGGGCCCGCGUUGGAUUAGCUAGUUGGUAGGGUAAAAGCCUACCAAGGCGACGAUCCAUAGCUGGUCUGAGAGGAUGAUCAGCCACACUGGGACUGAGACACGGCCCAGACUCCUACGGGAGGCAGCAGUGGGGAAUAUUGGACAAUGGGCGAAAGCCUGAUCCAGCAAUGCCGCGUGAGUGAUGAAGACCUUAGGGUUGUAAAGCUCUUUUACCCGGGAUGAUAAUGACAGUACCGGGAGAAUAAGCUCCGGCUAACUCAGUG
RNAcentral lists this ribosomal RNA (433 nucleotides) under uncultured bacterium. RNAcentral's name for it is "partial 16S ribosomal RNA". It matches the Rfam family "Bacterial small subunit ribosomal RNA", at positions 29 to 507 of the family's 1533-position model. The record is from RNAcentral.